AGCACUCUUGGAUAGUGCUGGCAGAUGUAAGUCCGACGUGCGGCAACGCACGGGCCGGAGGGGGUUCUCCCCCGGCCUCUGGGAUUAC
Molecule: non-coding RNA, 88 nt
Filed under: unclassified sequences
Description: S15-Methanomicrobia ribosomal protein leader
Rfam family: S15-Methanomicrobia ribosomal protein leader
Source: RNAcentral